UCUCUAGUGCCUCCCGCUGCGCAGCCCGACGCCGAGUGAGUUGUGAGUGUUGUGACCUGUUGCCGGCUGCCAUCGAGUCACCGAUGUCGACCUCAGCCCUCCAACAUUGCCCGAAUUUUCUGUGUGAGCCCCUCUCUCUCUCUCUAUCGUUCUUGUAGUUCAUGAUUACGAUGGAUAUGUGAAUAAUUAAAAUUUAAGAGGCUGGGAUUAUGGGGAGAAGCAUAAUUUGAUUUAAGGUAAUUUCUAUGGGUUUAUGUGUUUUCCUCAAUUUGAUUUCUUUACUCGGACUUCAGAAGUUUUAACGGAAUGUGCAUGAUUUUUAGUGGUGCUUGAGUGUAUGGGUUUUGAAUCUUCUGCUGAAGUUAGAGCUGGAAGCUCUGAUUUGUUUGCUUUUGUUCUAUUUGUUGUUUAGAAAUCUAAAUGAUUUUAAGGCUCGUUGAAGGGAAAAGCUUUUGAUCGGUGAUGUGUUUAUGCAUGCUUACUCUAAUUUGUUAUGUUCUAGUGGAGUUGAACCAAGAAUAAAUGAUAGUAUUCUGAAAUGAAAAUUAUGGAAAUGACUAUAGCUGGGGUGAUUUUAAUAUGCUCUUCAAUAUCUUAUUUGCAUAUGAAUGCAAUUUUUUUUUUAGCUCACGGAUCAAGGUUGUAUCAUGUAUUUUUUUUUUUUUUUUAUAAUAUCAGGUUGUAUUGGAUUAUAUUUUCAUAUAUAUAUAUAUAUAUAUAUAUAUAUAUGUGUGAUAUAUAUGAUUUUACGUUUUAUUAUAUUUAUAUAUUGAUUGAAGAAUUUUUAAUAUUGUUGAAUUAAGUAUUAAUAAAUGAUGUCGCUAUUGCUGUUGUUGACGGUAGACAGUCAGAGACUAAACUAUCGCACUAGCUCACCUCAAUUUCUGGAUUUG
RNAcentral lists this long non-coding RNA (893 nucleotides) under Olea europaea (common olive). Its description in RNAcentral is "long non-coding RNA (OEUR_LNC006839)". Lineage: Eukaryota; Viridiplantae; Streptophyta; Magnoliopsida; Lamiales; Oleaceae. The record is from RNAcentral.